RNAcentral lists this ribosomal RNA (274 nucleotides) under uncultured bacterium. RNAcentral describes it as "partial 16S ribosomal RNA". It matches the Rfam family "Bacterial small subunit ribosomal RNA", at positions 523 to 796 of the family's 1533-position model. The record is from RNAcentral.
AUACGGAGGGUGCAAGCGUUAAUCGGAAUUACUGGGCGUAAAGCGCACGUAGGCGGCUUGUUAAGUCAGAUGUGAAAGCCCCGGGCUCAACCUGGGAACUGCAUUUGAUACUGGCAGGCUAGAGUAUGGUAGAGGCAAGUGGAAUUCCGGGUGUAGCGGUGAAAUACGUAGAUAUCCGAAGGAACAUCAGUGGCGAAGGCGACUUGCUGGACUAAUACUGACGCUGAGGAGCGAAAGCGUGGGGAGCAAACGGGAUUAGAAACCCCGGUAGUCC